Long non-coding RNA from Oncorhynchus kisutch (coho salmon), 5538 nucleotides. The record is from Ensembl. Lineage: Eukaryota; Metazoa; Chordata; Actinopteri; Salmoniformes; Salmonidae.
ACAAACCUUCCCCCUCCCCUUUCCCCGUUUCCCCCUCUCCUCCUCUCCCCUCCACCCAUCCAUUGUUCUCCUCCAAACCUCACCCAUCCCAUUUCCGCCCCUCCACCCCCUCACCUCCCCUCUUCCAUUACCCACCCCUACCCCUCCACUCCAUCCCCUCUCUUGCCUCCAUCGCUGUCCCUCCCUCUUCAACCCUUCUCCCCCAUAUCCCUCCUCACCUCUCACCAACUCCUUCUCCCAUCCCUCCUCCCUACCUCUUUCUCCUCUCACCUCACCCCAUCCAUCCCCUCUAACUUCACUUUCAUCCAACCUCUCCCUUCUCCACCUCUCCCCCCAUGCCUUCAUCUCUCCCUCCAUCUCUCCAUGCCUCUAGCUGAUAAGCAGCAGGGUGGCUCCAGUGGCGUGGUGAUAGCCGUGGUGGUGUGUGUCCUAAUGCUGCUGCUGCUGGUGGCACUCCUAUACUUCCUCAACAAGAAGGGCAAGCUGCCCUGCAGCAAGAAGGACAAUAAGGAAGUGGCAAGUGGGGAUGUGAAUAAUGACAUUGUGGUGGAGAUGAAGACAGAAAAGGCCAAUGAAGAGGCUGGCCUCCUGAACAAGCCAGGAGCACAGCAGGUCAGAGGGGAGGGGUCGCUGGCGGGACGGUAGUGGUAGGAGAAGGGGGGAUUGGUUUAUAUGUUUAUAUGCACAGUUCUUAAAAACUAAACUGCCAAUAAUGCCAAGAGUAUGCAAAGCUGUCAAGGCAAAGGAUGGCUACUUUGAAGAAUCUCAAAUCUAAAAUAUAUUUUGAUUUGUUUAACACAUUUUUAAAGUUACUACAUGAAUCCAUGAAGUAACAUUGACUGGUUCUCUCUCUCUCUCUCUCUCUCUCUCUCUCAUAUAUUUAUAUAUAUAUAUAUAUAUAUAUAUAUAUAUAUAUAUAUAUAUAUAUAUUUAUAUACACACACACACAGUGGGGCAAAAAAGUAUUUAGUCAGCCACCAAUUGUGCAAGUUCUCCCACUUAAAAAGAUGAGAGAGGCCUGUCAUUUUCAUCAUAGGUACACUUCAACUAUGACAGACAAAAUUAGAAACAAAAUCCAGAAAAUCACAUUGUAGGAUUUUAAUGAAUUUAUUUGCAAAUUAUGGUGGAAAAUAAGUAUUUGGUCACCUACAAACAAGCAAGAUUUCUGGCUCUCACAGACCUGUAACUUCUUCUUUAAGAGGCUCCUCAUGUUGUGGGGGUACUUUGUUGCAGGAGGGACUGGUGCACUUCACAAAAUAGAUAGUUUUCAAUCCUCAUGAUUCUAUGUGGAUAUAUUGAAGCAACAUCUCAAGGCAUCAGUCAGGAAGUUAAAGCUUGGUUGCAAAUGGGUCUUCCAAAUGGACAAUGACCCCAAGCAUACUUCCAAUGUUGUGGCAAAAUGGCUUAAGGACAACAAAGUCAAGGUAUUAGAGUGGCCAUCACGAAGCCCUGAGCUCAAUCCUAUAGAAGAUUUGUGGUCAGAACUGAAAAAGUGUUUGUGAGCAAGGAGGCCUACAAACCGGACUCAGUUACACCAGCUCUGUCAGGAGGAAUGGGUCAAAAUUCACCCAAUUUAUUGUGGGAAGCUUGUGGAAGGCUACCUGAAACAUUUGACCCAAGUUAAACAAUUUAAAAGCAAUGCUACCAAAUACUAAUUGAGUGUAUGUAAACUUCUGACCCACUGGGAAUGUGAUGAAAGAAAAUAAUGCUGAAAUAAAUCAUUCUCUCUACUAUUAUACUCUCUACUACUAGACAUUUCACAUUCUUAAAAUAAAGUGGUGAUCCUAACUGACCUAAGACAGGGAAUUUUUACUAGGAUUAAAUGUCAGGAAUUGUGAAAAACUGAGUUUAAAUGUAUUUGGCUAAGGUGCAUGUAAUCUUCCGACUUCAACUGUAUAUAUGUAUUUAAAUAUUAUAUUAUUUAUAAAAAUGCUGGAAAAACACAAGGAAAUCAACUCCAAGUAAUUUUUAUUGAAGAAGUUCCCAAGUAUUCCCCAUGAAUAAUAGAGAGACACGUGAUUGUAUACAAAUGUAUGGAAGGUUUGAAAUGAUAAUGUUUUAGUCAAACAUUAUAUCUGUUUGGGCUUAUUGAGGUCAAUAUGCAGUCUACAAAUGACUUGUAAUUACGUUUUGGCCCCCCGACCAUCCGCUCAGUACAAAAUCAGCCAGUGGUUGAAUCUAGUUGAUGAUCCCUGACUUAUAUAAUAUCACGAUGUUGUAUUUGACUCACAGGAUUUACUGGUGCUUUGUGUUGUCUUCCACAGUGAGGAACAGAGGAGAAUAUGACACAAGAAGACAGAAAGAGAGGGAUGAAGGGAUGGAUGAAAAACGACAGCAGGGCUUGUCGGACUGAGGGAGAAAAGACGGUGGAAUGGAAGGGUGUUUUUGUAGGGAUGCGGGGAACCUGUUGGGGGAGGGGGGGGGUAUUUAAACAUGAGACCUAAUACAUCACUGAACAUCAUCAUGACAUUAUCAGAGUGUAAUCCCUUUCCACCAAUCACAACUCUUGGUUGACAACUCUCACAACUCUUGGUGUAGAAUAGAGCUGUACAGUAAACGUGUCCAACAUGACUCUAGCCACAGUAACUCUACCCCAAUCCAAACAGAAAAUGCCAUUGUGUUGCAGGAGUGUAUGUGCGUGUGAGCGUGUGUUUGUGAGUGUGUGCUGUAUUGCUUUGUGUAUCUGAGCUGUGGGUUGUUCUUCGUUCAGUCAGUGUAGAACUGGAUGUGUCUGUUCUGUGUGGAGUCUGCAUCUAGCCCAUUCUGAUGGACAUGGGGAAAACACAAACUGUCAUCCUACUCUAUUCAUCCCUAUGCUGAUUAUUGUGUCACUCUGAAUUCUAUCCCGUAACAUAGAGAUUGACCGUGCCUACUGUUACAUCAAACUUAAUGAUCAUAUUGCAGAUGUGCUUUCUGACAAACCUUUUCAGUCAAACAGGGCAAGCAAGGCCCACUUAUACAAGUCAAAAGUCAUUCCAGCCUAAAUCCACUCCGGCCUUCUGAUAAGAGCCUAUACUGUAUAUAAUUCUAGACUGUUCUAAGGAGGAACUUACCCCUAUCUCCCUGUUUGCUUUGGUCCUGGCCAGAGUCCUCUCUUUACAGGAUGACAUGAAAUAGAAGACUCUAGUCCCUGUGUAUCAAUUCAUUGUUUAGUUUUUCAUUUCAAAUCUAGAAUGUUUAUUCAUUUAUUCAAAUUCCUUUCAGCUGUUACCUUAGCAACAGCCGAGACAAUUUCUAACUUCCUGAUCCCUUCCUGUGUAAAUGUAUUUUUUUCUCAAACCAAAAAGCAACAAAAAUACAAGCUAUUCGGUGUACAAAUUAGUUCCAAAAUGUUGACGAAAUGUUUAUUAUGUAUCAGGUCAUUUGUUUUAUUCUUUUUGUUGCUCUGUCUCUGCAAAUGGAAUACUGUAUAACCUGUCAAUCAAAUGGAGGCUUACUGCAUACGUGAGGUGAAUCUGAAUGAAUCUGUGUGUGUUUACUGUGUCGUUAGAGACCUGACCCUGCUACAGCGCUCGCCGUAUUUCAUAGCCUACUGUCCUUCUCUGAGCAAAGCCAUUUUCAGAAACACAACACUCCCUGUUACGCUCAGCUCACCCAAUUAUCAUCCCCUAGCUCUGGAAAAUUGGAGUAACCUGGCAAAAUGGGGAACGUUUUUGUCCUCCGUUGACAAUCUGAAAUCUCUGCCAGCUGCACUACCAUUUCCUUCAGUACAGAUUGGCUUUGCAGGCCGGAGGGGUUAGCAACACAGUGAGCACAGAUUCACCUGCGAACGUCACAGACACAGGUUAGUCACAGCUUGAUGAGGGAGAGAGGGAGGGGAGCAGGGGAGGCGAGAGGGGGUAGAGUGUGGGGGUGAGGUGGGAGGGGAGAAGGUGUAGAGUGUGGGGUUGAGAUGGGAGGGUGUAGAGUGUGGGGAUGAGGUGGGAGGGUGUAGAGUGUGGGGAUGAGGGGAGAGGGGGUAGAGUGUAGGGGUAAGGUGGGAGGGGAGAGAUUUUUUUUUACCAAAAUAAGUUGAGUUAUUGAGUGUCUUAGUGGGGGUGUUCCAAUGUUUUGGUGCGCAUUUGGUGUCUGUCUCUCUCUGCCUCACACGCUUUUUGAUACUACCUAUAUUGGCAGCACAAAGAUAUAUGAGAGCUGGUUGCAGGGUCCUCUAUCAUGGGUAUACACUGGAAAGAAUUGCCUUCUGAACAGGUCACUAUAACCACUAUCGUUUUUUCUGGGAAUCAUUUGUUUUUUCCAAUGGUGUUUAUAUGUCUAGUGAUUUAAGAAAUCUAUAUUUCCAUAACUUAAUGAGUGUUCUGACUCCUGCGAAGUUAGGGGGAGACCAACAGGUGCAUAUUUUCAACUUUGGAAUGCUUGGUUUUAUUUGUCCCCCAAAAAAUAUAAAUUGAUAUAAAAUAAGUGUUUUCUUUUUUCUUUUUGAUUCCUGCACUUCAGAACUACUGAGUUGUGACUUGUGUUGUUUUGUGGGUUUUCCACUGGUUCUAAGAGAAGAGAGAAAGGUUUGAAUUAGGAUUCUUGUCUUGCUAUACAUAUGUGAGUGCUUUUUUCUCUUCCUGCUAUACUGUAUAUUUGGUGGUAUGCUGUUCUGUUGUGAGUUCUGUACUUUGUUCUUGUAUCUUCUUAUUGAACUGUGUAGAAUUUAUAACAACUGAAAACCCAAGAAAAAACAACCAAACUCCCACAAUCUCUGUGUGUGUUUCAUUUUUGUGUGUGUCUGUGUGUGUUGACUGUUAGUGUAGAGGUAUAGGCCACCUCAGCUGGAUUCUGUGAGCUCUGGCAGGUUGCCGUUGUACUGUGGGCUUCUGGCUCUCUGGUUCUAUCAGCAGGGAUGUUGUCCCUUCUUCCAUCUGCCAAGCAUCCAUUAGGAAAUUACACUGACCUGCAGAAUGGGAAGGAUUUGCGUUUAGAACAUUAAGAGAGAGAAUGAGGGGGGAAGGACUGAGAUGAGGCUCUAAAGUGUGUGUGUGUGUGUGUGUGUGUGUGUGUGUGUGUGUGUGUGUGUGCGUGCGUGCGUGCGUGCGUGCGUGCGUGCGUGCGUGCGUGCGUGCGUGCGUGCGUGCGUGCGUGCGAGAGAGAGAGAGAGAGAGAGAGAGACAGAGAGAGAGAGAGAGAGAGAGAGAGAGAGAGACAGAGAGAGAGAGAGAGAGGGCCAAUCAAUCAAAUUGAAAUAGCUUUGUUUCUAUUUACUGUGGUUUACAGUGUGUCCACCUCUAGUGCUUUUUGCUUCAGUAUUGUCACCAAUGUUAUUGUGUAUGAUCUGUGUAACCAUGCCUACCCUGGCCCCAAGGCUUUAAUACUGUCUGAGUUUAGCUACAGUGACGCUAAUCUGAUUUAGCCAUUUACCAUCAGCCUAUUGAGAAAUGACAGCCACUGUCCCUAGCUCAUAGCCUAGCCGCUGCAGCCUCCCAGUAACGGUUGGCUAACGGCCAGUCCACACAAACACUCACACACACACACAUACACACUGUGCUGGGACACCACCGCCAGAGCAAACUAGAGACUGAGAUGAUUAGGGAUAUAUAUAAUGAUAGAGAG